Molecule: ribosomal RNA, 518 nt
Filed under: Rhodotorula sp. 1 PN-2013
Lineage: Eukaryota; Fungi; Basidiomycota; Microbotryomycetes; Sporidiobolales; Sporidiobolaceae
Description: eukaryotic LSU rRNA
Rfam family: Eukaryotic large subunit ribosomal RNA
Source: RNAcentral
GAAACUAACAAGGAUUCCCCUAGUAGCGGCGAGCGAAGCGGGAAGAGCUCAAAUUUAUAAUCUGGCACCUUCGGUGUCCGAGUUGUAAUCUCUAGAAGUGUUUUCCGCGUUGGACCGCACACAAGUCUGUUGGAAUACAGCGGCAUAGUGGUGAAACCCCCGUAUAUGGUGCGGACGCCCAGCGCUUUGUGAUACACUUUCAAUGAGUCGAGUUGUUUGGGAAUGCAGCUCAAAUUGGGUGGUAAAUUCCAUCUAAAGCUAAAUAUUGGCGAGAGACCGAUAGCGAACAAGUACCGUGAGGGAAAGAUGAAAAGCACUUUGGAAAGAGAGUUAACAGUACGUGAAAUUGUUGGAAGGGAAACGCUUGAAGUCAGACUUGCUUGCCGGAGCUUGCUUCGGUUUGCAGGCCAGCAUCAGUUUUCCGGGGUGGAUAAUGACGGUUUGAAGGUAGCAGUCUCGGCUGUGUUAUAGCUUUCCGUUGGAUACGCCCUGGGGGACUGAGGAACGCAGCGUGCUUU